GAUGAACGCUGGCGGCGUGCUUAACACAUGCAAGUCGAACGGACAGGCCCUGAUUUUGCGGGGUGCUCGAGUGGCGAACGGGUGAGUAACACGCGUGUAACCCGCCCUUGACUUUGGGAUAAAUUCUGGAAACUGGGGCUCUUAUCGGAUAGGAGCUCUUGCAGCGCGGUGGGGGUUGGAAAGUUUCGGCGGUUGGGGCUGGUCUAGAGGCUUAUCCGCUUGUUGGUGGGGUUGUGGAAUACCAGGGCUUUGACGGGUAGCCGGCCUGAGCGGGGGACCGGCCACAAGGGGACUGAGAUAGGCAGCAGACUCCAACGUGAGGCAGCAGUGGGGAGUAUUACACAGUGGGCCGAAGCCAGAUGCGACGACGCCGCGUGCGGGAUGACGGGUUUCGAGUUGUAAACCGCUUUCGCCUUUGACGAAGCGGGAGUGACGGUAAUGGGUAAAGAAGCACCGGCUAACUACGUG
This 468-nucleotide ribosomal RNA is filed under the name uncultured bacterium. RNAcentral's name for it is "partial 16S ribosomal RNA". It matches the Rfam family "Bacterial small subunit ribosomal RNA", at positions 28 to 507 of the family's 1533-position model. The record is from RNAcentral.